This 500-nucleotide ribosomal RNA is filed under the name Streptomyces sp. E7. RNAcentral describes it as "bacterial SSU rRNA". It matches the Rfam family "Bacterial small subunit ribosomal RNA", at positions 1 to 522 of the family's 1533-position model. Lineage: Bacteria; Bacillati; Actinomycetota; Actinomycetes; Kitasatosporales; Streptomycetaceae. The record is from RNAcentral.
UGGAGAGUUUGAUCCUGGCUCAGGACGAACGCUGGCGGCGUGCUUAACACAUGCAAGUCGAACGAUGAAGCCCUUCGGGGUGGAUUAGUGGCGAACGGGUGAGUAACACGUGGGCAAUCUGCCCUUCACUCUGGGACAAGCCCUGGAAACGGGGUCUAAUACCGGAUAACACUCUGUCCCGCAUGGGACGGGGUUAAAAGCUCCGGCGGUGAAGGAUGAGCCCGCGGCCUAUCAGCUUGUUGGUGGGGUGAUGGCCUACCAAGGCGACGACGGGUAGCCGGCCUGAGAGGGCGACCGGCCACACUGGGACUGAGACACGGCCCAGACUCCUACGGGAGGCAGCAGUGGGGAAUAUUGCACAAUGGGCGAAAGCCUGAUGCAGCGACGCCGCGUGAGGGAUGACGGCCUUCGGGUUGUAAACCUCUUUCAGCAGGGAAGAAGCGAAAGUGACGGUACCUGCAGAAGAAGGACCGGCCAACUACGUGCCAGCAGCCGCGGUA